Molecule: ribosomal RNA, 494 nt
Filed under: uncultured bacterium
Lineage: Bacteria
Description: partial 16S ribosomal RNA
Rfam family: Bacterial small subunit ribosomal RNA
Source: RNAcentral
GACGAACGCUGGCGGCGUGCUUAACACAUGCAAGUCGAACGGUGAAGCGCCUUCCUUUUUGGUGGGUGUGGAUGAGUGGCGAACGGGUGAGUAACACGUGAGUAACCUGCCCCCUUCUUCUGGAUAACCGCAUGAAAGUGUGGCUAAUACGGGAUAUUCUGGGUCUGUCGCAUGAUGGGUCUGGGAAAGAUAUUGUUUCGGUGGGGGAUGGGCUCGCGGCCUAUCAGCUUGUUGGUGGGGUGAUGGCCUACCAAGGCGGUGACGGGUAGCCGGCCUGAGAGGGAGGACGGUCACACUGGGACUGAGACACGGCCCAGACUCCUACGGGAGGCAGCAGUGGGGAAUAUUGCACAAUGGGCGCAAGCCUGAUGCAGCGACGCCGCGUGAGGGAUGGAGGCCUUCGGGUUGUGAACCUCUUUCGCCAGUGAAGCAGGCCUGCCUCGUUUGUGGGUGGGUUGACGGUAGCUGGAUAAGAAGCGCCGGCUAACUACGUG